GGAGCGCUCGAGCUGUCCGUGAGACGGGUGACGUCACGGAAACGGCGCGCCGGGGCGGGGAUUUCUCGAGAGCGCGCUCGCGCGUAUACGCCGACCCACAUUGUCGUACAGAUGUGCGCGCGCGCAAGCGUUUUUUCACGAUACAAACAAACAGAGGUGUAUGAAUGGCGAGGUCCAGGAUGUUCGAGUCCGUGUUAGGAUUCCUCACAGUUCACUUUCUGAGCUCCGCCUGCACUUCCUGGUAGAUCUUCUCCUCCAGUGUGGACGUGUCGUACUCCUUCAGCAUGUCGUACUGCCUCCACGGCUCCGCCCACUUCUGAGCAUGCUCCAUCUGCUCCGGGGUCAGACACAGGUCAAAGCGUAUUCCCUUGAUGUUGAACUUGGGACGUUCCCAGCGCUUGGACCAGGGACGAGGCUUCAUCCUCACCUUCAUCUGCACAGAGAGAGAGAGAGAGAGAGGAAUGUAAACUCACAGAGAAAGAAAAACAGAGUAAGAUGUCUCCAUGAUCCGUCUCGCACCCACCUCGUUGACGGGGACUUCCUGUGUGGGCGACAGGUGAACAGGCUUCACGUCGAAGGCGAAGGUGCUGUAUUCAGGCAGAGCGUCUCUCAGGUACAUCAGGUUAUCGUCCAGUCUCUUCUCCAGCUUCAGCACCUCGAUGUGCUUCAUGCGAGGAUUGUACAGCUCGUAACAGAUCUCCACUCCUAAACACACACACACACACUCUGCUGAAAAUAACAGUCAGUGAAGAGGGAUCAAUGUUGUCAUGUUGUUGUUGUUCUUUCAGCUGCUCCCUGUUUGGAGUCAUCACAGCAGACCAUGUUUCAAUCUGGCACAGGUUUUACACCGGAUGCCCUUCCUGACCCAACCGUCCCAUUUAACCCAGGCUUGGGACCGACACUGAGAGUUCAGGGUUAGCGUCCUCCCCGGGAAUCGAACCCGGGCCGCGGCAAUGAGAGCGCAGGAUCCUGCCGCUGGACCACCAGGAGGCUAAUGUCUUCUUCAACGAUCUAUCAAAAUGUACUGAAUUCAUCACAGGUGUCAAAAAAGAGCUGUUUGUGUUUUUUAUCUGCUUACUAAUCACCAAAAAAUUAGGAAACUUAUAAAUUCACUUGGCUCAUGGUUUUACGUGCACAAUAAAAGAAACAAGUGGGGGGUGGUGGCUCAAGUGGUUAAGGCUCCGAGUCGUCCAGAAGAUCGGGGUUCAAGCCCCAGCACCGUCAAGCUGCCACUGUUGGGGCCCUUGAGCAAGGCCCUUAACCCACCCUGCUCCAGGGGCACUGUAUCAUGGCUGACCCUGCGCUCUGACCCCAACCCCCUAGGAUGGGAUAUGCGAAGAAAUAAUUUCACUGUGCUGUAAUGUAUAUGUGACAAAUAAAGGCUACUUAAUGAAGUGUUUGCUAUUUUAAGCUGAAGAUUGCAAAACUAAUAUAUUAGCAUAGGCAGAAAAGCAGGAGGUGACGUCACGAGAUAAACCUAACGUACGUCCUGCUCCGGAUCCCCUGACCCACUCUGACGAGGAGCUCACCUUGUCCGUCGAUGAUGUUCCUGAGGAUGAAGGUGGCGCCGAGUCCUUUACCCGAGCGCUGGAUGCAGAUUCCUACGAAGCGGUUGGUGUUGUUGGAGGCGUGCGGGUCGGACGUAGUGACGGACAAAACGCUUCCUGAAAACAAACCCGGUUCCCGUCAGUUCAUCAAGCGCACGAGAAAGGAGUGAAGUGUGAAGAUCAUCGGGAACGCUCCUUACCCACGUAGAACUCGGGAAUAUUCAGCACUCUGCGUCUCUGGAUCAUGUCUUUGCGCUCGAGGAAGAACUUCAGCGGAGCCGUGCGCUGACGAGGAGGAAUGAACUCGGGGCUGACGAACCUGCAUGGAAACACAGCGUCUGUUUUACUCUCACACUCCACAUCAUCACGAGGGAGACAUUUUAUUAAAAACAGCAAGAAUCUGAUUUUCUCUCAAGAGACUUCACGCCUCCAGCAUCUGGAUAUGAAGAGGGAAUAUUUCCCUGAUUAGGGUUUAUUUUAGAGACAAGGCCUCUUUUUGUUUUCGUACUGAAACUCCAUUAAAGCCAUUAAGCUUUUUUCCACAGAGUUUUCUCCAAGCUAAAGUUUUCAGCCUGAUUCCAGUCCUGGGUAUCGUCUCUAAGCUUUACACUGACGUAUUUGGAUAAAAAUAUAUAAGUCUGAAACUUGCAGGGUUUCAAACCAGACAGCUUGAUUCUCAGGAGAAACAUUCUCACCGUCGCGCCGCUUCUUCAGGCUUCGAUUUAUCCAGGAUCACCGGUUUGGAAGGAGGGGUGAAUGUGGGCGGCUUGUCGCCGGAACCCGCAGCCUGUAACCGCAGUGAGAACACUGAAAACAUGCCUGUAGGAAAGGAACCGACAGAUGAUUAGGAUACAGCGAGAACAUCAAACUGCACAAAAUAUACAGCAGUUAGAUCCACUUCUCUGAUCCGAUCUGCGUUUCAGGACUGCGAACUAUAAUAAGGAUUUAUUAAACUAUCCAUUUGGACAUGUUCAGAGGAGGGAGAGUGAGGGAGGCAGGAGGUAAAGAGGAAGACCAAAGAGGAGGUAUAUGGAUGGAACACAUGAGGAUAUGAAGUGUUGAGGAUGCAGAGGAUAGGGAUAGGUGGAGAGAGACGAUUCACUGUGGAGACCCCUGAAGGGAAAAGCCCAAAGAAGAAGAAGAUUGAGCUUUGAUUAAAUAAGAAAGCUCAUCAGGUGAUGAUGGAAAGACUGCUUUACAGGAAAUAACUUAAUCACAACAAGCUUUAUCACCGGGUCAAAGAACAAUUAACUAAUAACGCUUUUAAUCUCAUAAUUAAAUUAUUUAUGUGGAAUUAAAAAAUACGCAUUAUUACA
Long non-coding RNA from Hemibagrus wyckioides, 2863 nucleotides. RefSeq lists it as uncharacterized. The record is from RefSeq and is a predicted model, not a curated record. The transcript is spliced from 2 exons. Lineage: Eukaryota; Metazoa; Chordata; Actinopteri; Siluriformes; Bagridae.